Long non-coding RNA from Orcinus orca (killer whale), 2427 nucleotides. RefSeq lists it as uncharacterized. The record is from RefSeq and is a predicted model, not a curated record. The transcript has 4 exons. NCBI's taxonomy places the organism in Eukaryota, Metazoa, Chordata, Mammalia, Artiodactyla, Delphinidae.
CUUCCCAUUGGAUUGGACCCAGGUGUACAUCUUAAUCUGUCUGAGCGGAAAGAAGUGGGAGACUUUAAUUGCAAAUGAAGAUUAAUGCAACGUGAGGUCCGCUGGAUGAGGGUUUAGCUUUGAAUUUAAAUGACCCUGACUGCUUCCCCAAAAUUUGGACGAAAAUAUCUUUUCCUUCUCAGCGGCAGUGGUUCUGUGCACUGGUCUGGAGUCACUUUUCAUGAGGAACGUUGACGAACUUAUGAAAUAAGGGUUGAAAAAUAUUCACAACUGCAGGUGCUUUGUUAACUGAUCAGAUUUUAACAAAAGUGUUAAGCAGUGCUUCUCAACUGGGAGGCUUGAUCUGUGACCCAAGGUAUGAUCCAUCCUGGAGAAUGCUCCAUGAGAAUCUGAGAAAAAAGUGUAUUCUGUUGGUCCUGGACAGAACAUCCCAUGAAUAUCAAUUAAGUCCAUCUUGUUUAAUGUAUCGUUUAAAGCUUAUGUUUCCUUAUUUAUUCUCAUUCUGGAUGAUCCAUCCAUUGGUGAAAGGGGGUGUCAAAGUCCCCCACUGUGAUUGUGUUACUGUCAAUUUCCCCUUUUAUGGCUGUUAGCAUUUGCCUUAUGUAUUGAGGUGCUACUAUGUUGGCUGUAUAAAUGUCUACAGUUGUUAUAUCUUCCUCUUGGGUUGAUCCCUUGGUCGUUAUGUAGUGUCCUUCUUUGUCUCUUGUAAUAGUCUUUAUUUUAAAGUCUACUUUGUCUGAUAUGAGAAUUGCUACUCCAGCUUUCUUCUGAUUUCCAUUUGCGUGGAAUAUCUUUUUCCAUCCCCUCACUUUCAGUAGGUAUGCGUCCCUAGGUCUUAAGUGGGUCUCUUGUAGACAGUAUAUAUAUGGGUCUUAUUUUUGUAUCCAUUUAGCCAGUCUACGUCUUUUGGUUGGACCAUUUAAUUCAUUUACAUUUAAGGUAAUUAUCGAUAAUGUAUUUUCCUAUUAACAUUUUCUUAACUGUUUUGGGUUUGUUAUUGUAGGUCUUUUCCUUCUCUUGUGUCUUCUGCCUAGAGAAGUUCCUUUAGCAUUUGUUGUAAAGCUGGUUUGGUGGUGCUGAAUUCUCUUAGCUUUUGCUUGUCUGUAAAGGUUUUAAUUUCUCCGUCAAAUCUGAAUGAGAUCCUUGCUGGGUAGAUUAAUCUUGGUUGUAGGUUUUUCCCUUUCAUCACUUUAAAUAUGCCCUGCCACUCUCUCCUGGCUUGCAGAGUUUCUGCUGAAAGAUCAGCUGUUAACCUUAUGGGGAUUCCCUUGUAUGUUAUUUUUUGCUUUUCCCUUGCUGCUUUGAAUAUAUUUUCUUUGUAUUUAAUUUUUGAGAGUUUGAUUAAUAUGUGUCUUGGCGUGUUUCUUCUUGGAUUUACCUGUGUGGGACUCUGCACCUCCUGGACUUGAUGAACUAUUUCCUUUCCCAUAUUAGGGAAGUUUUCAACUAUAAUCUCUUCAAAUAUUUUUUCAGUCCCUUUCUUUUUCUCUUCUUCUCCUGGGACCCCUAUAAUUCGAUUAUUGGUGCAUAUAAUGUUCUCCUAGAUGUCUCUAAGACUAUCCUCAAUUAUUUUCAUUCUUUUUUCUUUAUUCUUCUCUGCAGUAGUUAUUUCCAGUAUUUUAUCUUCCAGGUCACUUAUCCAUUCUUCUACCUCAGUUAUUUUGCUAUUGAUUCCUUCUAGAGAAUUUUAAAUUUCAUUUAUUGUGUUGUUCAUCAUUGUUUUCUUUUCAAUUCUUCUAGGUCCUUGUUAAACGUUUCUUGUAUUUUCUCCAUCCAUUUCCACGAUUUUGGAUCAUCUUUACUAUCAUUACCCCAAAUUCUUUUUCAGGUAGACUGCGUAUUUCCUCUUCAUUUGUUUGGUCUGGUGGGUUUUUACCUUGCUCCUUCAUCUGUUGUGUGUUUCUCUGUCUUCUCAUUUUGCUUCACUUCCUGUUUUUGGGGUCUCCUUUGUGCAGGCUGCAGGUUCGUAGUUCCCGUUGUUUUUGGUGUCUGCCCCCAGUGGCUAAGUUUGGUUCAGUGGGUUGUGUAGGCUUUUUGGUGGAGGGGACUAGUGCCUGUGUUCUGGUGGAUGAGGCUGGAUCUUAUCUUUCUGGUAGUCAGGACCAUGUCUGGUGGUGUGGUUUGGGGUGUCUGCCACCUUAUUAUGAUUUUAGGCAGUCUCUCUGCUAAUGGGUGGGGUUGUGUUCCUGUCUUGCUAGUUGUUUGCCAUAGGGUGUCAAGCACUGUAGCUUGCUGGUCGUUGAGUGGAGCUGGGUCUUAGCGUUGCGAUGGAGAUCUCUGGGAGAGCUUUCGCUGUUUGAUAUUACAUGGAGCCAGGAGGUCUCCGGUGGACCAAUGUUCUGAACUUGGACUCCCACCUGAGAGGCACAGCCCUGACACCCGGCCAGAGCACCAAGACCCUGUCAGCCACACGGCUCAGAAGAAAAG